UACGUAGGGCGCAAGCGUUAUCCGGAAUCAUUGGGCGUAAAGCGCGCGUAGGCGGUUCGGUAAGUCUGUCGUGAAAUCCUGAGGCUCAACCUCGGGCGUGCGAUGGAUACUGCCGGGCUAGAGGGUGGUAGAGGCGAGUGGAAUUCCCGGUGUAGCGGUGAAAUGCGCAGAUAUCGGGAGGAACACCUGUGGCGAAGGCGGCCCCCUGGUUGGAUACUGACGCUGAUACGCGAAAGCGUGGGGAGCAAACAGG
Molecule: ribosomal RNA, 253 nt
Filed under: uncultured bacterium
Lineage: Bacteria
Description: partial 16S ribosomal RNA
Rfam family: Bacterial small subunit ribosomal RNA
Source: RNAcentral